UCAAGCUACAAAGGGCUUACGGAGGAUGCCUUGGUACGUGGCGCCGAAGAAGGACGUGACAAGCUGCGAAAAGUUGCGGGGAGGAGCAAAUAUCCUGUGAUCCGCAAAUAUCCGAAUGAGGGAACUCCGCACGGGUAAAGCCGUGUGAUCCGUAUAUGAAUAGAUAGUAUACGGAGGGGAACCCGGGGAACUGAAACAUCUAAGUACCCGGAGGAAAAGAAAACAAAAGUGAUUCCGAAAGUAGUGGCGAGCGAAAUCGGAAGAGCCCAAACCGAAUGUAGAAAUACGUUUGGGGUAAGGACCGCGAAGAAGCGAGAGUGAAAGCUAACCGAAAUACCUGGGAAGGUAUAACGCAGAGGGUGAAAUUCCCGUAGGUGAAAGCGGAAGCUCGGCGAGCGGAAUCCGGAGUACGUCGGGACACGAGAAAUCCUGACGGAAGGAACGGGGACCAUCCCGUAAGGCUAAAUACGACCACGUGACCGAUAGCGAAUAGUACCGUGAGGGAAAGGUGAAAAGGACCCCGGGAGGGGAGUGAAAAAGAACCUGAAACCGUAAGUUUACAAGCAGACGGAGAGCGUUAAGGGCUCGACGUCGUACUUUUUGUAGAACGGGCCGGCGAGUUACGAUGUGAUGCGAGGUUAAGCGAUGAAGUCGCGGAGCCGAAGCGAAAGCGAAUCUGAAUAGGGUGAUAAGUAUCAUGUCGUAGACCCGAAACCGAAUGACCUAACCAUGAGCAGGUUGAAGCAAUGGUAAAACGUUGUGGAGGACCGAACACACGCCUGUUGAAAUAGUCGGUGAUGACUUGUGGUUAGCGGAGAAAUUCCAAACGAAUUCGGAUAUAGCUGGUUCUCCUCGAAAUAGCUUUAGGGCUAGCCUCGCGAAACAGACUAUGAAGGUAAAGCACUGAAUGACCUAGGGGGCUUCACAGCCUACCGAAGUUUAUCAAACUAAGAAUGUUAUAGUUAAAGGCGCGGGAGUCAGACAGCGACAGCUAAGUGCCGUUGUCAAAAGGGAAACAGCCCAGAUCUACAGCUAAGGUCCCGAAGUACAGGUUAAGUGGAAAAGGAUGUGACGAUGCAAAGACAACCAGGAUGUUGGCUCAGAAGCAGCCACGCAUUAAAAGAGUGCGUAAUAGCUCACUGGUCGAGUGACGUUGCGCCGAAAAUUAACGGGGCUCAAACCUGACACCGAAGCUUAGGAAUACUUUAAUAAGUAUUGGUAGAGGAGCAAUGUAUACGAGAAGAAGGCGUACCGGAAGGAGCGCUGGAUUGUAUAGAAGAGAGAAUGCCGGCAUAAGUAGCGAGAGCGGAGCGAGAAACUCCGCCGUCGAAAGUCUGAGGUUUUCCGGGGAAGGUUCGUCCGCCCGGAGAAAGUCGGGACCUAAGCGGAGGCCGAAAGGCGUACGUGAUGGACAGCAGGUUGAUAUUCCUGCACUACCGAGAGAGAUAAUGAAGCAAUGACACGGAAAGAUAGAAGAAGCGCGCGGAUGGAAAAGCGCGUCCAAGCAAAGAGGGUGGCUGGUAGUAAAGAACGCCAGUCGUAAGCCUGAUUUGUGACGGGGAGUGGACCAAGGAAACGAAGUCUUUGAAUCUACGCCGGCGAGAAAAGUUGCUAAAUAUUUCGAGGUACCCGUACCGCAAACCGACACAGGUAGACGAGAAGAAAAUUCUAAGACGAACGGGAGAACCCUUGUUAAGGAACUCGGCAAAACGACCCCGUAACUUCGGGAGAAGGGGAGCCAUCGAGAGAUGGCCGCAGUGAAGAGGCCCAAGCGACUGUUUAUCAAAAACACAGGUUUCUGCUAAGGCGAAAGCCAAGGUAUAGGAGCUGACUCCUGCCCAGUGCCGGAAGGUCAAGGGGACUUGUUAGCAGCAAUGCGAAGCAACGAACUUAAGCCCCGGUGAACGGCGGCCGUAACUAUAACGGUCCUAAGGUAGCGAAAUUCCUUGUCGGGUAAGUUCCGACCCGC
Molecule: ribosomal RNA, 1969 nt
Filed under: human gut metagenome
Description: bacterial LSU rRNA
Rfam family: Bacterial large subunit ribosomal RNA
Source: RNAcentral